CCGGCACGGGUGAGUAACACGUAUGCAAUCCACCUGUAACAGGGGGAUAACCCGGAGAAAUCCGGACUAAUACCCCAUAAUAUGGGCGCUCCGCAUGGAGAGUCCAUUAAAGAGAGCAAUCUUGGUUACAGACGAGCAUGCGCUCCAUUAGCCAGUUGGCGGGGUAACGGCCCACCAAGGCGACGAUGGAUAGGGGUUCUGAGAGGAAGGUCCCCCACAUUGGAACUGAGACACGGUCCAA
RNAcentral lists this ribosomal RNA (241 nucleotides) under uncultured bacterium. RNAcentral describes it as "partial 16S ribosomal RNA". It matches the Rfam family "Bacterial small subunit ribosomal RNA", at positions 100 to 334 of the family's 1533-position model. The record is from RNAcentral.